Molecule: long non-coding RNA, 7284 nt
Organism: Myiozetetes cayanensis
Lineage: Eukaryota; Metazoa; Chordata; Aves; Passeriformes; Tyrannidae
Exons: 5
Source: RefSeq, a predicted model, not a curated record
GGUUUUUUUUUCACUGAAGACCUUCGAGCUCCAGUGAAGGUGUUGGUUGGCCAUGUCAGUAGAGAUGCCACUUCAUACCCUGUCAGCUGUCAUAAUACCUGAAAGACAAUUCUUCACAUGGCUUUCCAUCACCUCUUUUCUGGGACUAAAGCCUCUUCUUCCAUCCAAAGUGGUAAUGUGAACACCAGUCUGCCAUUCUCUUCUUCUGUGUUUAGUAAGAGCUUUAAUAAGACUGUAGUUUUCUGUAUGAAGAUUUUGUCUAGCAAUAGAAGGAUGGUGACACUGGAGGGUAUUGCAGAGAUUUGUUGUUUUUUUCAGUAUUCACUUGCUGUAAGUUUAUAAUCUUCUUAGAAUCAUGGAAUUUUUAAGGUUGGAAAAUAUUUGUAGGAUCAUUGAGUCCAACCAUUAACCCAGUACUGACACAUUCACCACUAAACCAUGUUCCCAUGUGCCACAUCUACAUAUUUUUGAACACUUCCAGACAUGGUGAUUCCAGCAAUUCCCAGUAGCUUGUUCCAAUGCCUGACCAUUCUUCACUGAUAAAAGCCAUGGCUUCAGAGAAGUUGUCCUGAUGGUUGGGUCUCUUCCUGCAGCUCAUGGAGAUUGCUUGUGAUUUUUAUAUUUACCAUGUUUAUUCUCUUACUUACUCUCUACCCUGAUGACAUUUUCAAAGCCAUGGCACUCCUGAUCUGAAGAGUUAGUGAUAUUAAGACAUGCAAUGAAAGUGUGUUAGAAUUGAGGUAAAUUUGGGUCUGGAGGUGAGGCCGUGAUUCACAGGUAUUCCAUAUGUGCAUCUAUGGGAUGUUUACACAAAGACCAUGGAAGUGAAACCAUUGUUAGAAAUCCUGAGUUUCACAUGUGAGGGAUUUUCAUUAAUUCUGUCGGAUCCUAUGAACAUCACAUGGAUCAAACCAAACCACAUGGUUAGUAACAGGAAUGCAAUUAUAAUAUUGCCUUUUUCAGACACAUUUUUUUCCCUUUUUCUGGCUGUUAAAAAGUUGUCUGUUUUAAAGGUAACAGUUAGUGACUAUAGAAACCCUGAGGCCUUCCCUGUGAGCAACUGAAAGCAAGAAACAAAACCCAAAAACGUGAAGAGAUCUCUUGUGACUCCCUCACACAGAAGAAAUCUGCUACCCAUGAUGGUGUGUGUCGCUCCCUCUCCUGUGUACACAAAUGAGGCAGAUCAAAGUUCAGACAGUACUAAUCUCCUAAUCAUACAAGCUUCUGAUUAGCAUUUUUAAUCAGUCUGGUGAUCACAGGGCAGCCUCAAAAUUGUUCUUGAAUACUAAGCUUUCGGAACAGAGUUCCAAAUAAUUUUUAUUUUGGUGGGUUGUUUUUGUGAAAUGUGUCUGGGAACGCUUCGUGUAGGAUGUGGUGUGCUGCAGAACUCAGCUCCAGUUACCUCUCCCCAUCAGUAGUCAGGACCUGCACCUCGAGGGUCUGUUUGAGUACAUUCGAGCCAUUCACGUGGAGGUUGUUACUGCAAUCGUGUCCCAACCUUUUCAUCUUAUUUGAGACAUCCAUGCUGCAUGUGAGAGUAUAGUGAUCCAGUGAUGGGGGCAAAAAAGAGGCAGAUGCUUUCUGCCUAAGGUGGCAUUACAUAAUUUUACAUUCAUUUUUUAAAUCUUAAAUUAUUGCUAUCUCUUACUGCAACCAGAAGAUCUGUAUAUAAAUUCAAUGUGGUCUUCCAUUAAUAGUCUCAAGAAAAAAAAAAAAGAAAGAAAGAAAGAAUGAGACACACAUGGUUUUCUGAGUGGUGCCUUCACAGUGACUGGAAUGGUGAUACCCUUGAUGUUCUGUUUCCAUUAUAGUAACAACAAAAUGUUUUCCAGAUCAGGUCUAGGAAUUCUGAAAGAAUCACAUUUUGAAAAUUAAAGGUAUUUGGGAAAUAUCAUCAAAACAAACUGUAGAGGAAGAAAAUAUUAAAUAGCACUUGUCUUUAAGCCAGAUGCAAGAAACAAUUCUUUCUUGUUACUGUGCUUAUCAUUGUGAUCAUUUCACUUCUGUGUAUAUUCUACGCCAAAAUGUCUCACUAGAAGCAUAUAUUAAUGCUAGUUUCAUCUUGCACUGCCAAAUUUGCUUGUUUUUCAUCUCAAGCACAAUUAGUAUCUUGAACUGAGUAACAGCCAAAGGCUUUGAAUUAGGGAACGUCUCACAGGAGAUCCAUGAAAGCAGCUCAUCUGAGAAGAAAAUAUUGAUGCUGCUGAGGGUGGAAGGAGAAGUAUGCUUGGAUUAAUUCUCUAUGGCACCUCCUAAAGGGAGUGGAAAAAGCAGCAGCACAGCCAUGCAACUAGAAACUGGGGCCCUGUAAGUUGUCCAUGAAGACUGUUCCAGCACAGAAGAGCUGAGAGUGCAUCAUCUGAGAAGCCUGGAUGAUUAGGAGAUGAUUGUUUGUGACAAGCACCCAACCAGCCCUAGGAGCCUGUUUAACUCCAGCUUUUCUAACUGAUAUAAACAGCAUCCAUGUAUCAAUCCCCCUGUCCUGUCCACGCGAUCAAAUGUUAAUAUCAAAGAAAAGCCAACAAUGUUCUCUUAAAAAAGAUCAGAAGAUAUCCCAUAAGCCAUUCAAAUUCUACUGAGAGGAAAGCUAUUGUCCUUUGCUAUUUUGUCCAGGUGGUUUAUAUGAGGGAGUCAUGGAGACAACCUCAGCUCAGUGCUGUCCAUAAUCACCUGGCUAUCAAGGAAGGAGCAAUCCUGUGCUUAUUUAGGUCCCUGGGAAAGGAGGACACACAAAUAUGACUUAACAAUAUAAGCUUGCAGAAAGCAAAUAUUAGUACGUCAAUAUUUAAAUGUUGAACGGUAAUUCAGGCCACCAUACCUCCUUAGGUGUGUAUAUAUACCCACAUGAUUCUUCAGGAGCUGAUGAAAAGUGCUUUGCUGAACCAUACUUGAAAUUUAGAAAACAGAUCCAGUGUUGGCAUCGGCACUGAGGGUUUGACCAGAGUCUCUGUAAUGGGUAAAUCCUGAACUGGGACCACUGUAUUUACAGAGAAGCUCCAACUGUAGUACCUAGGAUCAUCCUUGUGUUAAGAUCCCCAAUAGACAUUGAAUUGUCAGAUUUUUAUCUCCCAUUCAUUUUUGAGUUCUAGUGGACAGUUGUGAGUUGUAUUAUCAUAUUAGACUUUUGCAUGCUUCAAAGGCAAAACUUUGCCUUAAUACAGAGUUAUUUCUGCAAUUUAACUCAGGCCUUUGUUUUGCUUCCAAGGCUGCAACUAAUUCAACCAUGAACCAAAAUUAAAAUGCUAUGAAGAAGAAGGCAGUCUUACACUGUAAUAUGGAACCACAUUUCUCUUUACCUUACCCAAUUCCUCCCUUGUGUUUUGUAUCUUGCAGUCUUCCUGCUGCUGAUUUCUCUUUAAUAAUCUUGAGUAAUGCUACUUUGUUUUUCUGACGAGCUUUUGUGAUUACACCCUACAUUCAAUGCUUAGCUAAGAGCCACGCCCUUACUUGGGAGUUCAUCAGUAGUCAACCAAAAAUAAUGGGAUUCUCCCACAGUAUGUAGAGAUGCUACAAGCAGGAAUUCAUCAUAUCCUACAUGCCAUAAACAACCUCACAUAAGCCCAGGAAGGAGGUCAAGCUGAUGACUAUAAUCUUUCUGCCAUACAGUAAGAAUAAAAGGUACCAACCAGAUGUAGACACUUGAUGUGAUCUCCUUUAAGCUAUAAGAAAAUAAGGUCAGGUGGCUCCUUAUGUCCCAUGUGUGCUGUUAAUACAUUUUAGUUCAGGUACAUUGGCCCUAUUUAUUUCUCUAAGUCUGCCAAAAUGUCUUGUUGCAGGACAGAAUGAGGAGACAUGAUGCACAUUAGUAGUAUUCAAUAUGUUCUUCUGCCCAUAAGGUUUCAGUCAACAUCUACCUAAAAAAGGGAGUUUGUUAGAAAAACCUCAAUAUUUGCCCCCUUAAAUCAGUAUGGUCUAAGCCCUCCAAAUUCAUCACAGCAUCUGUGUUGAACACCCACUAGGUUUCUCAAGGAUAUAGGCAUCUGAUUAAAUGCUUGCCAGAUUUGAAGAACUCAUGCACAUGCAUAAAGCCAUACUGAAAUGGGGGUUAACUUGCAAGGACUGUUACAUGGCAUAUCCUCCCCUACACACAUACCAUUCUUUCUUUCUCAGUUUCUCAAGUUUGCUGUCUCCACUGAAUCCCAGUGUCAUUGAUUUUACUGUGUUUUCAUUUUGCCAGUGAUUCUCUAUUACUCUGCUCUCUAUUACUCGCACUCUGAGAGCAGAGUAAUAGAGAAUCAUUGCCUAUUUCUCUGCUUCCCAUAUGCUUUCCCUCUCUUUGCUACACAUGACUUUGUCCCUCACCUCUUGAUCUUCUAGACCCAGUGCAAAUUUUUCAUUUGUUCUUCUCUCUGUAAACAGAAUUCCUUCCUCUUCUUCAAAUCUCUUCAAACACGGGAGUUCGAGCUUACUGUUGAUUCCCUAUUCCCAGAGGAUUUGGGAAAUUUGACUGUGCUUACCUAUAACUGUAAGAAGCAAGGUUAGCUGCCAUCAUGCUAAACACAAGGGAUAGGGGCAGGUCAAAGCUCUGCAGGCUAAUUGCAGCAUUUUUCCAUCACUAUACAACACAUUUGUUUGCUGUCCAUAAUUUCAUUCCUCUCCCAGGUAAAGAAACUAAAUUCAGUUCCAUAAAAUGUUCUCCAUUUGUUUUCUUUUGGAAAGUUCUUGUAUGUCUGUGAAAUAAGUGAAAUUCAAAACAGCUACUGAGGAGACAUCUUCACACACCUCAAUCAACCACACUUUUGUUCAGCUUUCAUACCUGCUGGGAUCUGUUUCCAAAAGCCUUUGCUAGUCCCUCAGAAUGAGAAGGAUCAUUAACUAAGCAAAAAUUGAUUCAUUACAGUGAGAAAAAUUUUCAACAGCUAUGUGUUGCUAGCCCAAACCACAGGCUGCUGUGAUCUUAUGAAUACACAGGAGGAAGCUGUGGAGAAUUCUCACACAAAAAAAGCCUCAGAUGAUGUCAGUGCUUGAAAGCAUGAAGGCUGAAGAGGUUCAGUGAAAGCCCUGUUGGGGUAGCUGGGAGAGAUUCAACAGGGUAGCUCCUUUUCCUCAUUAGAUUAGGAAGAGAAGAGUGAGUAUUCAUCCUUAGUGAUUGGGGAAAAAAAACAACUGCAGACUCCAAACACUAUAUAAGCAAGUGAAGGAGUGUAUGUCCUGGUAACUGAUGUCCAUGAAACAACAAUAUUGAAAAGGUAAGACCUGUCUUUAUUCAGAUACUUGUAAAACAUAUGCUUGAAGGAACCUGGAAAGGUCAUCCUGUUCAUUCCCUCUUCCUAAGGCAACUUCAACUCUCCCUAAUCUUGAGUGGGCUUGCUCUGAAACUUAAUAUCCAUUUUUAUACUGAAAUUGCUGUUUGACUGCCUAUCAAAGCUUUUAAAAUAAAAUGAUGGUGAAUAACGUUAAGAAAAUUUACACCUCCUACUUUGGCUGGCAUCUUUUUUUAACACUGUUAGUGAGCAUAACUUGGGGAGUUCUGGGAAUUUUUCCCCUCAUCUGACCACAGACUUUCAAAAACAAAAGUUUAUUCUAUUGAAAAUCUAUUAUGUUAAAGCUAAGAGGAACUGUCAUAACUGUCAAUCAGAGAAGGGAAGAAUCUUCUUACCAUUUACUUCUGUAAAGUUAGUAGAAAUCAGGUUCUUUUAUAGACAGUAGGAAGAAAAUAACCGUGCCCAGGGAAGAUAAAUUCAGUGUAUAAAAUAUCGUAAAAUGAUAGUCGAGAUGGAAUGGCAAUCAGAGGAAUCAAGUGAGUGGGAAUAGUGCUCAAUGGAGUGUUUUGUAUGAGGAGUUCAGAGCAUUUAUUUCAUUGAUAUUUCACGUUGUUUCCUGUGGAAAAGAUAAGAAAGGAGGGUUAAUUUACUCCCCAUUAUGUUCAGACAAGAGAGAGGAGAACAGAGAAGACUGGUUCAGAGUCCAGGUUCAGAACAGUCAGGGGAAAGGUAUUUGUCUAAGCAGGCAUUUAAGAGAAGGAAGGGAGAGCUUUGGUUGGUACACAAGAACAGGAGAUGGUUCUAAGCAAGCAGGCCAGGCACAGUCAUCUGUGGGAGCAGACAAAGGGAACCUUAAUCAAAGUGGAUCAGGAGAGUGAGUGAAACAACCUCAUCUGGGGAAAUGAGCACCACUACAUCCAUCCACUUGGAAGAUCGUCUUGUACUGCGAAUUUGAAAGGGGUUGGUGUAGCAGGAGGGAGACAUCACUGUAGCUGCAGUACUUUAAGAAGAUUAUCCUCUAUAAAAGCUCCCUUUAUGUCUACAAAAAUGUCCACGCCUGUAGCACGGCCUCCUCUAAACCCAGAUAACUCCUGUUCAUUACCAUUAAUGAAAAGGCACGUUCAAAUCAAAUACUGAUGUGUUUUCAAGCGUUGGCAGGAUUACUUUUUACAGUAUUUCCAUGUUAACUUCUUAACAGACUUCACAGAAAAAUACCAGAAAAAUUUGUAGUGAUUGCCAAUUUUAACAAGAAAUAUUUAUCACUGGCAAAUAACAAAUAUAGCACUCCUGCAAAUUAACUUCUAUGCUAUUCCUAACUCCUUGCAGGGGUAGCAGCAGGCUCUUUCAGCUAGCUUUGGUCAUAAGUGUGCUCAGCUGCCUCUUAGCAUCAGGGCAGCCUGGGUUCAGCACAGGUCCGCUCAGCUGGCUGCUCUUUUCAGCCUGUAGUAGGAGAACAGCAAAGGUGGCACUACCCCAUAGUCCAAUUUAAUAGCAGCUAUUGUGGGUGUCACCUACCUGUCAUGUCUGACUCACUCCACCAUUUUUCUGUUGUUUUCAUUUAAAUAUUUAAACACUCAAAUAUUCCAGCCACUUUACAUUUCAUCUCCUCAGAAAGAAGCAAUGUUUCAGAGCUGUUACCAUGGAAACAAUGGAGUGAGGAGGCAGCUAAACAUAAAAGGAUCCACAAGGAGAUGGAAGCAUUACUGAUGGAGCUUCUUGCUCAGAGACUUGAAAGUUUGCUCUGUGCAGGUUCCAUUGUACCAAUGUACCCAGAAAAUUGAUAGCCCAUUUUCCAAGCAUUGAUGUUUGAGUGAUUUGGAGGUAUAUUUGAAAGAAUGACCCAAGUAGGAAGAGUCAGAAUUAAGAAAGACAGACAUUCCAGGCCAUGCAACAGUCCCGUCCUUUCUCCAGUGACUCUGUCCACUCAUCUAACACUUCUGAAAAGUAGAGUUCCUAGAACUUUUGGGUAUAAUCAUUGAACAGCUUCACCUAUAUGGAAUAGUGCCUAUUGAAGACCACAGUUCACAGAUACAAUCAUGAAUUGGCAAGAGACUUUCCUAAAGCCAGAGAAGAAGUGAGG